GUCGAGAAUCUUUCACAAUGGGGGCAACUCUGAUGGAGCGACGCCGCGUGGAGGAUAAGGUCUUCGGAUUGUAAACUCCUGUCAUGCGUGAACAAGGUUGCUUGGUUAAUACCUGGGCAAAUUGAUGGUAACGCAAGAGGAAGAGACGGCUAACUCUGUGCCAGCAGCCGCGGUAAUACAGAGGUCUCAAGCGUUGUUCGGAAUCACUGGGCGUAAAGGGUGCGUAGGUGGCGUGGUAAGUCAGAUGUGAAAGCCCGGGGCUCAACCUCGGAACUGCAUCCGAUACUGCCAUGCUAGAGUACUGGAGAGGUGACUAGAAUUCUCGGUGUAGCAGUGAAAUGCGUAGAUAUCGAGAGGAAUACCAAAGGCGUAGGCAGGUCACUGGACAGUUACUGACACUGAGGCACGAAGGCCAGGGGAGCGAACGGGAUUAGAUACCCCAGUAGUCC
Molecule: ribosomal RNA, 449 nt
Filed under: uncultured bacterium
Lineage: Bacteria
Description: partial 16S ribosomal RNA
Rfam family: Bacterial small subunit ribosomal RNA
Source: RNAcentral